AAUCGAACCCGGAGAUAGCUGGUUCUCCUCGAAAUAGCUUUAGGGCUAGCCUCAUGGAUCAUUGGUGGGGGUAGAGCACUGAAUGUGCGCGGGGGCCACAAAGCCUACCAAACGCUAUCAAACUUCGAAUACCAUACAAUGCAGACCAUGGGAGUCAGUCCGCGAGAGAUAAGUUCCGCGGGCAAAAGGGGAACACCCCAGAUCAACCGCUAAGGUCCCCAAGUUCACGUUAAGUGGAGAAGGAUGUGGAAUUGCACAGACAACCAGGAUGUUGGCUCAGAAGCAGCCACACAUUUAAAGAGUGCGUAAUAGCUCACUGGUCGAGUGAUUGUGCGCCGAAGAUGUCCGGGGCUAAACGUGACACCGAAGCGAUGGGUGCGUCUGAAGAAGAUGCGCGGUAGAGGAGCAAUGUGCAGAGGCAGAAGCCGUAUCGAGAGGCACGGUGGACACUGCACAAGAGAGAAUGCCGGUAUGAGUAGCGAGAGGCAUGCGAGAAACAUGCCCGUCGAAAGCCCAAGGUUUCCUGGGGAAGGUUCAUCCGCCCAGGGUAAGUCGGGGCCUAAGCCGAGGACGGAAGUCGUAGGCGAUGGACAGCAGGUGUAGAUUCCUGCACUACCGAUGGAAUGAAGCAGUGACACAGAAGGAUAACUCGAGCAGGGUGAUGGUCAACCCUGUGCAAGCAUCAAGGUUGGGUUGUAGUGAAGUACGCAACCCUAUAAGCUGAGAUGUGAUGCGGACCGAAAUUUCAGUAGGGAAGCGAGUGAGUUCACGCUGGCGAGAAAAGCUGCUAGUACAUCCAAAGGUACCCGUACCGGAAACCGACGCAGGUGGGCGAGGAGAGAAUCCUGAGACGAACGGGAGAACCCUUGUUAAGGAACUCGGCAAAAUGACCCCGUAACUUCGGGAUAAGGGGUGCCUGCGAGAGCAGGCCGCAGAGAAUAGUCACAAGCGACUGUUUAGCAAAAACACAGGUAUCUGCGAAAGCGAGAGCUGACGUAUAGGUGCUGACACCUGCCCGGUGCUGGAAGGUUAAGGGAACAUGUUAGAGCAAUCGAAGCAUCGAACCGAAGCCCCAGUAAACGGCGGCCGUAACUAUAACGGUCCUAAGGUAGCGAAAUUCCUUGUCGGGUAAGUUCCGACCCGCACGAAUGGUGUAACGACUUGUGAGCUGUCUCAACAGGGGGCCCGGUGAAAUUGAAGUAUGGGUGAAGAUGCCCAUUACCCGCGACUGGACGGAAAGACCCCGUAGAGCUUUACUGCAGCCUGAUAUUGAGUUUCGGUAACUGAUGCACAGGAUAGGUGGGAGUCUGAGAGACAUGGGUUUCGGCUCAUGAGGAGACGAUGUUGGGAUACCACUCUUCGGUUACUGAAAUUCUAACAUAGCUCUGUGAAACCAGAGGAUGGACAGUGUCAGGUGGACAGUUUGACUGGGGCGGUCGCCUCCGAAAGAGUAACGGAGGCGCCCAAAGGUACCCUCAGAAUGGAUGGAAACCAUUCGAAGAGCGCAAAGGCAGAAGGGUGCCUGACUGCGAGAGUGACAACUCGAGCAGAGACGAAAGUCGGGCUUAGUGAUCCGGCGGUAUUGAGUGGAAAAGCCGUCGCUUAACGGAUAAAAGCUACCUCGGGGAUAACAGGCUGAUCUCCCCCAAGAGUCCACAUCGACGGGGAGGUUUGGCACCUCGAUGUCGGCUCAUCGCAUCCUGGGGCUGUAUUCGGUCCCAAGGGUUUGGCUGUUCGCCAAUUAAAGCGGCACGCGAGCUGGGUUCAGAACGUCGUGAGACAGUUCGGUCCCUAUCCAUCGUGGGCGUAGGAGUCAUGAGAGGAGCUGUUCCUAGUACGAGAGGACCGGAAUGGACGCACCACUGGUGCAACUGUUGUCGUGCCAACGGCAUAGCAGGGAAGCGAAGUGCGGAUGGGAUAAACGCUGAAGGCAUCUAAGCGUGAAGCCCACCUCAAGAAUAAGUGU
Molecule: ribosomal RNA, 1966 nt
Filed under: human gut metagenome
Description: bacterial LSU rRNA
Rfam family: Bacterial large subunit ribosomal RNA
Source: RNAcentral